AGCCAUUUUAUGUCACCUCUUGCAAUGAUGACUGGAUUGACUAACUAAAGUUAACUCUAUUACCAGUAUUAAUGGGGAUUACAAGUGCAAAAGCAGCAGGGGAGGGGGAGGAGAGGGAAAUACGUGGAAAAGGAGACUAGAAAUCGUAGAAUCACAGCCUGGUUUGGGUUGGAAGGGACUUUGAGAUCACUUCUAUCACACUUGCUCCUGGCAGUGACGAUGACUCCUUCAGGAUCGUCAGCCCCAUUUCACAGGUGAGGAAACUGAGGCACGGAGUCCCAUCAACCAGGAAUAAAGCCCAGUCACCCAGCCAUGACAACAGAGGAGGUUACACCAUGUUGAAGCUGAUGAUGUUCUUCAACCCCUAAUCACAGACCAGACUCAGCCGAAGUGGCAUGCCCAUUCCAUGCAUCCCGAUGGGAGUGAGAAAGCUGCUGCUGUGAUUUAGUUUGUCCAGGAUCAGACUCCUUAAUGGGCUCUUUUGCCUCCAGCCCCUGGCUGCUAUUUGCUUUCCCUGCUGGCUGGCAGCCUUUUCCCUGCCUGUGGGCAGAGCGGCUAAUGGAGUUGAGGAGCCGGUGCUGAGACAAUGCGAACAAAUGCAAAUCAGGCAGCAUGACGUGUCUCCUAAGGUGUUAAUGAACUUAUAGAUGCAUGAAUAAUUAUUUGUGAAAAGCACGGCGAGCUGCAGAGGUCACAGAUGGCUGGAGAAUAACAAAUGCAAUGACAUUUAGCGGGGGGAAAGAAGAGUCACGCUGGCACUUUGCAGCCGGAAAGGCUCCAGCAAAGCAGAGACAUGGUGAGAUCAUUUCAAAGGAUGCUGUUGAGGUUGAGCCCGGGCUUGAAAGGCCACAAGAAGCUUAAGGAGGGUAAAUGAAGACGCAGCGAGGGAAAUAAUGUACGGGGAGGAGGGAAAGCAGGGAGGUCUUGGGGUGAAGGCAUGGAGCAAGUAAAGGGUGCUGUGCAGUGCUCAUCACCACUCAUUAGAAAGGAUGGAUUUGUUUUAACUUGAUCCAUCAUUUCAUUGGCAAACUUGAAGCAUCUUGUUAGGAAUUCAUUGAGCAGCUGAAGCCUGGAUCUCUAAUGGCCAGAAGAGGAUGCUCAAAGAGCAAAGAAGAGGAGGAGGAACAGUGGGGGAUCCCUGAGGACUCUGGAGAGAGAAGAAAUUGGGAAGCAUUUACUGGGAAUGCUGUUGCCAAGAGCAGAUGAUGAAGGGGAGGCUCUGGUCAAGGCAUCGGACGGGGCUUUGUUGUCUUCUCCCUGCCAGGAAAAGCCCCUGGAUUUGGCCAGAAGAGGGGGAAACUCACCUUCUCCCAGUCCAGCAGCCAGGCUGUUAUGCUCUGUCAUCUUGCACCUGAAGUGCUUGCCUCCCCUCUUUGCGCUUAAAUAGCCCCUUUAUAUCAUGCUGUAACCAAACCACCUCUCAAAAGUCUGGCUGAUAAAGCUAGAACAUGAGCUCUGUAAACCGCUCCCUGUAAGGCAUUUAUUUCCCUGCUAUCAAAUAAAUGUCAUUCUUUUUCUGCACCA
Molecule: long non-coding RNA, 1524 nt
Organism: Strigops habroptila (Kakapo)
Lineage: Eukaryota; Metazoa; Chordata; Aves; Psittaciformes; Psittacidae
Exons: 2
Source: RefSeq, a predicted model, not a curated record